AUUGAACGCUGGCGGAAUGCUUUACACAUGCAAGUCGAACGGCAGCACGGGGCAACCUGGUGGCGAGUGGCGAACGGGUGAGUAAUACAUCGGAACGUGCCCAAUCGUGGGGGAUAACGUAGCGAAAGUUACGCUAAUACCGCAUACGAUCUACGGAUGAAAGCGGGGGAUCGCAAGACCUCGCGCGAGUGGAGCGGCCGAUGUCAGAUUAGGUAGUUGGUGGGGUAAAGGCUCACCAAGCCAACGAUCUGUAGCUGGUCUGAGAGGACGACCAGCCACACUGGAACUGAGACACGGUCCAGACUCCUACGGGAGGCAGCAGUGGGGAAUUUUGGACAAUGGGCGCAAGCCUGAUCCAGCCAUUCCGCGUGCAGGAUGAAGGCCUUCGGGUUGUAAACUGCUUUUGUACGGAACGAAACGGCGAGGCUCUAAUACAGUUUGCUAAUGACGGUACCGUAAGAAUAAGACACCGGCUAACUACGUGCCAGCAGCCGCGGUAAACG
Molecule: ribosomal RNA, 503 nt
Filed under: uncultured bacterium
Lineage: Bacteria
Description: bacterial SSU rRNA
Rfam family: Bacterial small subunit ribosomal RNA
Source: RNAcentral